UUGAGGCAGCAGAAGGGGAGGGCACAGUCUGCAGCAGGGAGCCCCAGGAGUCACCAGCCCAAAGUCACCCAGGGAUGACUGACGAGG
RNAcentral lists this long non-coding RNA (87 nucleotides) under Pan troglodytes (chimpanzee). RNAcentral describes it as "lincRNA". The record is from RNAcentral. Lineage: Eukaryota; Metazoa; Chordata; Mammalia; Primates; Hominidae.